UGAGCCUACGGGGGGCAGCAGUUAGGAAUAUUCGGCAAUGGGGGAAACCCUGACCGAGCAAUGCCGCGUGUGAGAUGAAGGCCCUAUGGGUUGUAAAUCACUUUUAUUUGGGAAGAACUGUAAGUAGAGGAAAUGAUACUUACUUGACGGUACCUUUUGAAUAAGCCCCGGCUAACUACGUGCCAGCAGCCGCGGUAAUACGUAGGGGGCAAGCGUUAUCCGGAUUUACUGGGUGUAAAGGGAGCGUAGACGGCGAAGAAAGUCUGAAGUGAAAGCCCGCGGCUCAACCGCGGAAUGGCUUUGGA
This 305-nucleotide ribosomal RNA is filed under the name uncultured bacterium. RNAcentral's name for it is "bacterial SSU rRNA". It matches the Rfam family "Bacterial small subunit ribosomal RNA", at positions 334 to 630 of the family's 1533-position model. The record is from RNAcentral.